UACGGGAGUGGCAAGCGUUAUCCGGAAUUAUUGGGCGUAAAGCGUCCGCAGGCGGCCUUGUAAGUCUGUCGUCAAAGCGUGGAGCUUAACUCCAUUUAAGCGAUGGAAACUGCAAGGCUAGAGUGUGGUAGGGGCAGAGGGAAUUCCCGGUGUAGCGGUGAAAUGCGUAGAUAUCGGGAAGAACACCAGUGGCGAAGGCGCUCUGCUGGGCCAUAACUGACGCUCAUGGACGAAAGCCAGGGGAGCGAAAGGGAUUAGAUACCCCUGUAGUCCUGGCCGUAAACGAUGAACACUAGGUGUCGGGGGAAUCGACCCCCUCGGUGUCGUAGCCAACGCGUUAAGUGUUCCGCCUGGGGAGUACGCACGCAAGUGUG
RNAcentral lists this ribosomal RNA (374 nucleotides) under uncultured prokaryote. RNAcentral describes it as "bacterial SSU rRNA". It matches the Rfam family "Bacterial small subunit ribosomal RNA", at positions 524 to 896 of the family's 1533-position model. The record is from RNAcentral.